RNAcentral lists this ribosomal RNA (510 nucleotides) under uncultured bacterium. RNAcentral describes it as "partial 16S ribosomal RNA". It matches the Rfam family "Bacterial small subunit ribosomal RNA", at positions 28 to 507 of the family's 1533-position model. The record is from RNAcentral.
GACGAACGCUGGCGGCGUGCUUAACACAUGCAAGUCGAACGAAGAGCGACGGAAGCUUGCUUCUUUCAAUCUUAGUGGCGCACGGGUGAGUAACGCGUAAUCAACCUGCCCUUCAGAGGGGGACAACAGUUGGAAACGACUGCUAAUACCGCAUACGAUCUAAUCUCGGCAUCGAGGAUGGAUGAAAGGUGGCCUCUACAUGUAAGCUAUCACUGAAGGAGGGGAUUGCGUCUGAUUAGCUAGUUGGAGGGGUAACGGCCCACCAAGGCGAUGAUCAGUAGCCGGUCUGAGAGGAUGAACGGCCACAUUGGGACUGAGACACGGCCCAGACUCCUACGGGAGGCAGCAGUGGGGAAUCUUCCGCAAUGGACGAAAGUCUGACGGAGCAACGCCGCGUGAGUGAUGACGGCCUUCGGGUUGUAAAGCUCUGUUAAUCGGGGAGAAAGGCCUUCUUGCGAAUAGUGAGAAGGAUUGACGGUACCGGAAUAGAAAGCCACGGCUAACUACGUG